This 226-nucleotide long non-coding RNA is filed under the name Elaeis guineensis (African oil palm). Its description in RNAcentral is "long non-coding RNA (EGUI_LNC056662)". The record is from RNAcentral. Lineage: Eukaryota; Viridiplantae; Streptophyta; Magnoliopsida; Arecales; Arecaceae.
GCCAUAGUUAUAGCAUCGUAGAAUAGAAGAACCCGUCAGGGCUGGUUUCGAGGAUCUCAUAUCAACAGCAUCAUGAAUAGGAGGGGUAGAAACUUUGUUACCAUACACGUCCCCUUGAUUCUUUGGUGCUUGGUUGCUCUACGAGAAUGAAUCAGAUCUAUGUAUAGAUCUUCAUUGUAGCUACUCCUCAACAACUACAGCUUGGUGGUAAGGAGUGGAGCCUCAA